CAGCAGCCACGGGAAUACGAAGGGUGCAAGCGUUACUCGGAAUUACUAGGCGUAAAGCGUGCGUAGGUGGUGGUUUAAGUCCGUUGUGAAAGCCCUGGGCUCAACCUGGGAAUUGCAGUGGAUACUGGGUCACUAGAGUGUGGUAGAGGAUAGUGGAAUUUCCGGUGUAGCAGUGAAAUGCGUAGAGAUCGGAAGGAACAUCUGUGGCGAAGGCGACUAUCUGGGCCAACACUGACACUGAGAGACGAAAGCUAGGGGAGCAAAUGGGAUUAGAUACCCGAGUAGUCCCUGUCUCUUAUAC
This 301-nucleotide ribosomal RNA is filed under the name uncultured bacterium. RNAcentral's name for it is "partial 16S ribosomal RNA". It matches the Rfam family "Bacterial small subunit ribosomal RNA", at positions 509 to 807 of the family's 1533-position model. The record is from RNAcentral.